UGCGUAGGCGGACUAAUAAGUCAGUGGUGAAAUCUUUCGGCUCGACCGAGAAACUGCCAUUGAUACUGUUAGUCUUGAGUUCGGUUGAGGUAGGCGGAAUGUGUAAUGUAGCGGUGAAAUGCUUAGAUAUUACACAGAACACCAAUUGCGUAGGUAGCUUACUAGACCGACACUGACGCUGAGGCACGAAAGCGUGGGGAGCGAACAGGAUUAGAUACCCUGGUAGUCC
This 229-nucleotide ribosomal RNA is filed under the name uncultured bacterium. RNAcentral's name for it is "partial 16S ribosomal RNA". It matches the Rfam family "Bacterial small subunit ribosomal RNA", at positions 568 to 796 of the family's 1533-position model. The record is from RNAcentral.